GGGAUAACUACUGGAAACGGUAGCUAAUACCGCAUAAUGUCGCAAGACCAAAGAGGGGGACCUUCGGGCCUCUUGCCAUCAGAUGUGCCCAGAUGGGAUUAGCUUGUUGGUGGGGUAACGGCUCACCAAGGCGACGAUCCCUAGCUGGUCUGAGAGGAUGACCAGCCACACUGGAACUGAGACACGGUCCAG
Molecule: ribosomal RNA, 192 nt
Filed under: uncultured Enterobacterales bacterium
Lineage: Bacteria; Pseudomonadati; Pseudomonadota; Gammaproteobacteria; Enterobacterales
Description: partial 16S ribosomal RNA
Rfam family: Bacterial small subunit ribosomal RNA
Source: RNAcentral